RNAcentral lists this ribosomal RNA (490 nucleotides) under uncultured bacterium. RNAcentral describes it as "partial 16S ribosomal RNA". It matches the Rfam family "Bacterial small subunit ribosomal RNA", at positions 30 to 507 of the family's 1533-position model. The record is from RNAcentral.
AUUGAACGCUGGCGGCAGGCCUAACACAUGCAAGUCGAACGGUAACAGGAAACAGCUUGCUGUUUCGCUGACGAGUGGCGGACGGGUGAGCAAUGUCUGGGAAACUGCCUGAUGGAGGGGGAUAACUACUGGAAACGGUAGCUAAUACCGCAUAACGUCGCAAGACCAAAGAGGGGGACCCCCCGGCCUCUUGCCAUCGGAUGUGCCCAGAUGGGAUUAGCUUGUUGGUGGGGUAACGGCUCACCAAGGCGACGAUCCCUAGCUGGUCUGAGAGGAUGACCAGCCACACUGGAACUGAGACACGGUCCAGACUCCUACGGGAGGCAGCAGUGGGGAAUAUUGGACAAUGGGCGAAAGCCUGAUGCAGCCAUGCCGCGUGUAUGAAGAAGGCCUUCGGGUUGUAAAGUACUUUCAGCGGGGAGGAAGGGAGUAAAGUUAAUACCUUGGCUCAUUGACGUUACCCGCAGAAGAAGCACCGGCUAACUCCGUG